AUUGAACGCUGGCGGCAGGCCUAACACAUGCAAGUCGAACGGUAACAGGAAGAAGCUUGCUUCUUUGCUGACGAGUGGCGGACGGGUGAGUAAUGUCUGGGAAACUGCCUGAUGGAGGGGGAUAACUACUGGAAACGGUAGCUAAUACCGCAUAACGUCGCAAGACCAAAGAGGGGGACCUUCGGGCCGCUUGCCAUCGGAUGUGCCCAGGCGGGAUUAGCUAGUAGGUGGGGUAACGGCUAACCUAGGCGACGAUCCCUAGCUGGUCUGAGAGGGUGAACCGCCCCACUGGAACUGAGACACGGUCCAGACUCCUACGGGAGGCCGCCGUUGGGAAUAUUUCCCCAUGGGCGGAAGCCUUAAGGAGCCCCGCCGCGUGGGUGAAGGAGGGCUUCGGGUUUUAAAAGUCCUUUCUGCGGGAAGAACGGAUGUAAAGUUAAUACCUCACCUCUUUACGUUACCCCGCCAAAAAGCCACCGCUAACCUCGUG
This 490-nucleotide ribosomal RNA is filed under the name uncultured bacterium. RNAcentral's name for it is "partial 16S ribosomal RNA". It matches the Rfam family "Bacterial small subunit ribosomal RNA", at positions 30 to 507 of the family's 1533-position model. The record is from RNAcentral.